AAUAAGGAUGUCAGCAGCUUUCUAGAAACCACUGCUGACGUGGAAGAGAUCACUGGAGAAGGACUCACUGCUUCUGGUAGUGGUGAUGUCAUGAGGAGACGUAUUGCUACCCCAGAAGAAGUUCGUCUUCCCCUCCAACAUGGGUAAAUGCUCUAGUUUGCUACAUUUAUUGACCUUGACAAGUUUAAUGCACAACUCUAGAAAGAAGGGAAUGCCUCUUUUCCUCUGAGGUGGGGGAGGAAUGGGCCAGACAAGAGUAGAUUACAGGACAGUUAUCUGCAGUGAUAAUGUUUCUUGGCAUGAGAUUCCUAGGUUUUCCUUCUUCUCUCAAGGUCUGUCUUCCAUCACCUAUUCUUUUUUCAUCUUGUAGUGACUCAAUUUUGCCCAAGGAGCUCCAGCUAUUAUCUUUUCCAAACCCUAG
RNAcentral lists this long non-coding RNA (421 nucleotides) under Homo sapiens (human). RNAcentral describes it as "non-protein coding lnc-ATP5F1B-3:1". Lineage: Eukaryota; Metazoa; Chordata; Mammalia; Primates; Hominidae. The record is from RNAcentral.